Molecule: long non-coding RNA, 6867 nt
Organism: Apis cerana (Asiatic honeybee)
Lineage: Eukaryota; Metazoa; Arthropoda; Insecta; Hymenoptera; Apidae
Source: RefSeq, a predicted model, not a curated record
CACUUUCUCCAUUAAUUAUAGUGUACGAUCUGAAACAAAAUAUUAUAAUGUAAUGUAAUAUUCCUGAAAUCAAUCGGUGUUUUAGAAUGUAACAAAAAUCUAUUGCUUGACUGAAAAGAUUAUUCGAAAAGUCGAAAUCCCCUGCAAGAUAAAUGUCAAAGCCACCCCUUCUGAAUUAACUACUUUUAUCCACCCUUUCGAAAAACACUUUGUACCUUAUAUCCACUGGAGUAUAAACUGAAGACUGAACCAACAUUACAAUAUCAAAAUUUUCCUUAUUAAAUUCAUCUCGAGUAUCCCUAAUAUUUUUCCAAGAGCUUCCAUUACAAAAGCGCCGUUAUUCGCCAUGAUUCUUGCUAUAUUUCCUUCAGAGAUCACUUCGCUUUGCAAACCGGAUGGAAAUGCUCGACCCUAUCUAAUGUUUUGAAAUAACAUCGCCAUGCAAUUUAUUCAUUAUCCUUUAAAAAAAAAAAAAGCGACCGAGAACGACUGUCGACGAAAAUUUCGUGAAAAAACUAAUGGAUAAAAAUUAUAAAUUAAAAAGCGAGUUAUAAAGCCUUACAUAUUACAAAUAAAAAUCUUAUAAAUUAAAGAAAACGUAUUAUAUAAAAUUCAAGCAAAAACUUAACAACUGACAAAUUUCGUUUCAUUCGAGAUAAAAAAAAUUUAUAUACAAUUAAACAAAAUUCAAUCAAGUCUUUUCUAACUCAAUUAACAAUAUAUCGAUCUUUCCACUAUUUUGAAUCAUCUCGAUUUGGCUCAACUUUAUAAUUGUUUUACAUAAUUUAAUAUCGAUGUCUAUCAUACAUGCAAACAAUUUAAUUACGCCUAAAAUGCUCAAAUGUUCCUCUUCCUAUAAAUUUCGAUUAUUCAAAACUUCCCACUACCAAAAAAUUUCUCAAGCAAACGUAUACAACAGACUUAGAUCGAAAAAAAUAAUUUCAACUCCUCUCGAUAAACUCUCCUCCGAACGUUCCUACGAAAAUCUUACGAAAAUCCUUCGAAAAUCCUGCGAAAAAUUCCGCUCGUUCGUGCCCGGGAUAUUUGCACGAGCCGAUCAUUUCUUAACGCCGCGACGCAAUUCGCGAAAACAAUAUUUUUACGUCCGCUUUGCAUCAACCGUGAUGGAAUCCUCUGCCCUGUCCGGAUCGAGUUCACAGGGCGGGUACGGAGGAAAUCGAUGGACGGUUUCGUGUAAAUCAGCCUUUAUCCGAAAUUCUUGCCCGCGAAAUCCUCGUGGGUUGCACGGUUGCCGGCGUGUACGUAGCGGAAUAAAGUAUGCCGUCAGCAGGAAAGUCUUGUGCGACGGUGAACGAAAUACAGGCUGUUGAAAAGUUGGCUGGCACGCCUUCCCUCCACGCUUUGACACUUUAUCGACCUACUCCGCCUUCCCUCCCCCCUCCUCCUCCAAACCAGCGGCGCGAGUCUAAUACCACUCCUCUAUUGCAGAAUUUGGUCGAGGAUUUAUACCCGCGUAAUCGAUUUUGCUAGUUAAUAAAUUUGUUUCCACUCUGUGCGUUGCUAAUGGGGACUAUUGAUCGAUUUGAUCGGUGGUGGUAAAAUUAUUAUUUAUAUAUUCCGCUAUUUCCUUGGGAAAAAGAAACGAUGAGAGAAUUUUAGGUGGCCGUCGAUGUGAUGAAAGUUCGGUAAUUGGUUAUAACGGGGAAAAAUUAAAUUUGGCCGAAUGAGAAAUAUUAAUUGCUUAAAUUUAAUUAAACAACAAAUUCACAACUUUGUUUUACGAAACAAUACCCGAAGAAAAUUUCAUUUUCAAGUCGUCCCUAUAACUAAAAAUUAUAUAACUAAAAAACUUUUCAUAUAUUGAAAUUAUACCAACUUCAGCUUGGUUUCUGGAUCAUUAUAGAAAAUGGGUGGAUAAAAAUGAAGGUGGAAAACAAUACGAAUAAAGAUUUAAAAAAGAUUCGUAUCUCGAUAUAUAAAUAUUUUCAACGUUUUCUUCUUCAUCAUUCGAAUUCGCGAUUUAAAUGUUUCGAGUCAUUUGAAAAAAUAAUGCGGAGGAGUGGUUGAUUUUAAUAGGCCGUUAGUUUGUGUCGCGUGCCAUUAUAGCUUAUGCAUCAGGGCAUUAGCAUAGAAUGGUGGCCGGGUUACGUCCACGCAUCCAACUAAUCCCAGACGGUAUUAAAUUUGUACAAGGAGGAUUUAUCUAAUGCGGCAUAUUCAAGGAACGCGUGCACCAUGGAGUUUGACAAAGGUUAACUAUAUUUCAUUAGUGUCAUUAACGAAAAUGAGACUGGUCGGUUGGAAACUUUGAUAAUAUUGUAAUAACUAGCUGUGCAUCAAGAGAUCUUAUAUUCAAUUUUCUCUUACUUUGUGUUGUAUAUUCUGCUCUUUAAUAUUUUAUAAAUAGAAGUUUAUAACGUUUCAUACAUAUUACAAAUACAUUAUUAUUACAGAAUAUGUAGAUAAUACACAUUAUCAUAAAAUAUUGUAUAUAAAGUAGAAUUAAUACAUUUAUGGGACAGAUUUUUGAUGAAUCGAUUCUAGAAAUGAACAAAAUAAACAAAAAGAUUGAUAUAUAAAUAUUAAAUACUUAAUUAUAAUUUAAUGAAUAAAUCUCAAUCGAUAUCUCUUUUGUACAUCAAUUUUACAUACAUAGUAUGUUUAUUCUUUGAGAUCACAAAUGAUUUCUAGUUCUAUAAAAUAUUAUCAUUACUUGGAUUUCUCAUUUUUAAAAGGGAAAAACUUCUGUAUUCGUGUUUUCAUAAAAGAUACAAUAACCUACGAAACUAUCUUCCUAUUAGACAUACGAUUUCUAUUUAUUCUAAUCUAUACUUAAUCGUUUCGCUUAUAUCACGUUCAAAUAUUAAAUCGAUUCGAUAUUUAAUUUUUCGAGUCUAUCUAUAACACUGUAAUUCGAUUCAAAAUUAUUCUCAAAUUAACGAAAUUGAAAUUGUUAUAAACCAAUUGAAAUUAAAUUGCCCAACGCUAAUUAAAAAGUAAAAGUAAUUAAGAAUUAAAAUUAAUACAAGACACUUUCAAUCUGACAUUUUAAAGAAGAAAUACCCGAGGCACUUAAUAAGCCGGCAGAAUAAAUCCCGCUCAACCAGCGGGUGCACCGAGUGCAUUGUUACAUUAAGUUUAUUAACUAAGCUCGAACAAGUUACGAGGCUCCCGUCCUUCCUUACGAUUUACGGUCAAGUUAAUGCCUCGUGGAAAUAUUACGUCGAAUGACCCGCAAAAUCUUGCAAUCCUCCUUCCUCUCUUCCCCCCCCCCCUCUCCCCUCUUUUCCAAAUAACUUGCGCAAUCGGAAUGGGAACAACCAAACCCCUUGCUUGCCCCUCUUUCCCAACAGAACGUUCGACAGUUCACGCUCGAGCAUCGAUUAUUAACGGUUGUUCGAAACUUCAACUGUUGGACAACCGAUAACAAUUUCCUUCAACUUUCCACGUCUCGCGCGCAUUUUUCAUCUCUCAUCCCACCUUUUCUCGAUUUCGAUUUCGAUUUCGAUCUCGACCGCGAUAAACGGCGCGGAGAUAGAUAAAUCAGGCUCCUCCUGGCGGUGAAAAGUAUAAACCGUCUCGGCAUGGAUGCGCCAUUUUUAUUCAAACUGAAUGGAAAGGAAAUUUCCGAGUACUUCCACUGCUCGUAAUUAAUCAGUGGUAACAGAUGCAGAAGUAAAGCCGAGGGCUUAAGCAGAAGGACUCUUCGAAGCCGCAAUUACCUCGGGCAAAAUAUUCAUUCAUAAACAACGAGGAUCGAGAUUCCGGAUGUAAUUCCAUUUACGUAUAGGUUAUAGGAUUAGGUUAAAGAGAGAAAAAUUCGACGAAUCGAUUAUGAAGUAAUCGAAAGAUACAGAUUAUCUUAGGAUCAUUCCGAGAGAAAAAUGUUGCAAAAUACGUGUAAUACAUUCGUACGAGUGGAGAAGAGAAUUCUUUAUCCGCGAGAUCAAUCCGAAUUUUAUUUUUAAUUAUUUAUUAGAGAUUUGUGUUUUAUAUUGAUUUAUUACUAGAUAGAUUGUUCGAGCAACUAUCACGUGUCUCUGUGCACGCAGGUAGACGUGUUUCCAUUGACCGCAACCACUGAAUAUUAAGCGGUCUAUGGACGGAUGAAACAUGUUACGAUGCAGGCAUCGACUCAAGCAAUGGGUUUAAGUUAAUUGCUCGCGUAAUGCUGGAACUGAUACAGUGAUGUUUCAGCGUUAUUACGAGCCAUUGAGUCAAACUCGUUGAGUAAUAAUUAAUAGGAACAUCCUUAAUCGUAAAAUAAAUUCGUCAGAAUUUAUAUGUCACGUAAUGUCACAAAUUCUUUGGAUUGGAAAUAUUGGAUUGGUUUGUGACACGAUCAGAGACAUUACUGUUUUUUUAAAAAUAGCGCUUAAGUAUUUAAAUGUCUAUAUUCAGUGAUAUAAUUUAAUUAUAUAUAGUAUAAUUAUUUAACAAUUUGAUGCACAAACUGUAAAAAUAUUGAUUGCAAGGUUAAUUUAUUAAAUUAUUAAGUAGUUUAAUGUUGUACUAAAACGAGGCAAAGUGCUUGAAUUAUUUAACUUAAUAAACAAGUUUCAACUCAUAUUUUUGCACAUUAAAUUUAUUGGUUGUUUUGGUAGUUAGAAUAUAUUAUAUCUUAUAUAACAUUUCUUGUUUGGAAAGAUCUCAUAAAUAUAAUGCUAAUGUUUAUUUCAAGUUUUGAUUUAUAAUAUACAUUAUCAAGUGUAACUCAUAAUCUUUUAUCUUUUUCAUCAAUAUUUUAAUUAAUAAAAGAUGACCCAGUUAGAUCAUUUUAUAAUGUUAUUUAAAAGCUUGAUUAAAAGAAAGUUUUUUAAUUUUUUCCAAUUAAAAAACUUAUUUAAUGUUAAUUUUUUGGUCUACAUUUUCAAAAAUUUUGAUACUUAAAAAUUUUCUUUGAAUAAAAAGCAUAACAAUUAUUCCAGAUUAGAUUAGAAAAAUUUAAUAAAUUUGAUAUAUCAACAUCAAUUACUUUUGCUGGCCAAACGAGGAUUUCUUUACAAUUUCCCAAUAACAAUCAUUCCUUUAUAAAAAUUGAACAUUAUUUCUCCAUAAAUUAUUCUCAUAAGAAUUUCGUUUCAAAACAUUUACAAGUGAUCCUUUAUAAUUACAAUUCCAUUUUUAAAACUCAAUCUCUAAUGUGCUAUAUUAAUUAUAUUAAUUAUAUUAAUUAUAUUAAACACACUUUUCCCUUCAAGAAGGAAUUCAGAUCGAAACAAAUUUCUCUUCUUCAACGUUAUUAAGCAUCCCUUUGUUAAAUAGUCUGCGACAAACGAUCCUGUUGCUAGGUGUUAGCCUACAAUCGAUAUAGCGUCAGUGUCUCUCUCUCUCUCCUCUAAUCGAAUCAAUUUUAUCGGUUUAAAGCGGUGGACCGCAAUUGGUCGGAACCGAUUGGCAAGGUAUUUGCUGUACACCAGAAAUUCCGAUAAGCAUUAAAUGAAAAAUAACGUAUACCUCGAUAUUUGUUUCCAUCGUGUUUCGACCGAAUUAACGACCGUCCACCGUUUCCAUUCCCUCUUUUGUUCCAUCACUUUUGUCCGCCAAGACUCUCAGACCGAGGUUCAAAAUUAUUUAAAAGGAAGAACGUGUAUUUUUAAUAAUCCGCCACGGUCGUUCGCCCUCCCCCUCUCAGUAAUUAUUGCUCCAACGACCAACUUCCUUUUAUGCACAGUGUGACAGCCUCGUUUGGAUGGAAUUUACCCUUGGUGGAAUUUUAACUUUUACGAUGGCGCGUUUCUUCUCGCAAUUUACCAGCGGAGUCAGUUGCCAGCGACACCGUUUAAAUACGAGGGUGGAAAUUGUGCACCGAGCCUUGUUUUUCCGCGUUACACGGCCGAGGAUUAAGUAGCUGCGACCAACCAACGUCUACUUACCAGCUAACGAACUGGAUUUUAACCCGGCCGCCUCGUUUCAUCUCGCUCUUCUAUACUUUUCAUAUAAAACGCGAACGUUGGUUUCUCAACUUGGCCGAGAAUUAUUUUAUCAAACACGGGUGAAUAAAGCGUAUGGAGGAUAUUUGAAUAUUUUCAAAUUGAGUCUUGGGAUGGAAGAAUGAAAAAUUGAUAAUGGGGGAACGAUAGAAUUUGUAAAGAGGGAGGGAUGAAGUUGGGAGAAGUUCGAUCGGUGUGAUAGAUGCGCGAACGACGAAUACUUAGUUUUGGAGGGUUGGACAGGUGUGACAGAUGAGUGUUUGGACCACGUGCUUGAGAUUAUCUCGUGGAUCGUGUGGGUGUGAAGUGGAUGGUGGGUUAUGUGGUUUGAAGGUUUCGGUUGAACGUGUUUGAAUAUCUUCUGGAAAUUGCUGCGUCGAGUGAAGGAGAUAGAGAAAUGGAGAAGUUACGUGUGCCGAGAUAAAUUCUUGUGGAAAAUUAUAUGUACACGAAAUUAAUGAAGAAUCGUUUGUGAAAUUGAAAGUAGAUAGAGUAGAUAUCUAUUUAAAGUAGUCUAAAGAGACGUUAUUAUUUUUGGAAAAAAAUAAUUGAUUAAAAUUAAUUGAUUGGAUUUUAAAAUCUAGAAUUAAAAUUUUUUCCAAGGAAAAUAAUAUUAUUAUAUUAUUUUGUUGUUAAAAUAUAGUUAUGAUUGUUUUAUUUUAGAAAUCAAAUUGCCUUUAAAUCGUUAAAAUCUUGUUUAUCAUAUCAUAAAACAGUCGUGUGUUAACAAAAGCGAUAAAUUAGUCGUAUACUAAUGCCAUUACAUAAUUUAGUUGUAUAAUGGCAUAUAGGACAUUGAGCAAAACCAGAAUCAACUAAACUAAUUAAGCAAUUAUCAGUAAUCAGAUAUUAUUGAAAAUUUUAUAAAAAAUAAAAUAAUUUAAUUUUCAUGAUAAACGUUUAACAUUGUAUUUUAAUUUUUUUAACGUCGGUUUUUUUUAUUUUGAUAUUAAAAGUAUUCUACAAAUAUAAA